GAAAAGCAAUCUGGACAUCAGUUGGAGUACAAUAUGCAAGCAAAUGUGAGAAGGAGCGAAUGUAGAGUUUUCAAAGCCAGUUUUGAUUCUUGGCUUGGGACUUAGAUUUUAUUGUAGAGAUACUUUUUAGCUUUCCGAAACAUCUUGAAUCAUCUCAAUCAGAGUUUAUAUGCGAGAUUUAUGACCUUUGUACCAACGAACAUUUAACCUCAAAGUUUAGAGUUGGCACCCAUUUACAUAGC
This 242-nucleotide long non-coding RNA is filed under the name Panax ginseng (ginseng). Its description in RNAcentral is "long non-coding RNA (PGIN_LNC017602)". The record is from RNAcentral. Lineage: Eukaryota; Viridiplantae; Streptophyta; Magnoliopsida; Apiales; Araliaceae.